Molecule: ribosomal RNA, 1011 nt
Filed under: human gut metagenome
Description: bacterial LSU rRNA
Rfam family: Bacterial large subunit ribosomal RNA
Source: RNAcentral
CCCAGUAAACGGCGGCCGUAACUAUAACGGUCCUAAGGUAGCGAAAUUCCUUGUCGGGCAAGUUCCGACCUGCACGAAUGGCAUAACGAUGGCCACACUGUCUCCUCCUGAGACUCAGUGAAGUUGAAGUGUUUGUGAUGAUGCAAUCUCCCCGCGGCUAGACGGAAAGACCCCAUGAACCUUUACUGUAGCUUUGCAUUGGACUUUGAACCGAUCUGUGUAGGAUAGGCGGGAGGCUGAGAAGCGGUGACGCUAGUCAUCGUGGAGCCGUCCUUGAAAUACCGCCCUGAUUUGUUUGAGGUUCUAACCUAGGUCAGUGAUCCUGAUCGGGGACCGUGCAUGGUAGGCAGUUUGACUGGGGCGGUCUCCUCCUAAAGGGUAACGGAGGAGUGCGAAGGUACGCUAGGUACGGUCGGAAAUCGUGCUGAUAGUGCAAAGGCAAAAGCGUGCUUGACUGCGAGACCCACAAGUCGAGCAGAUACGAAAGUAGGUCUUAGUGAUCCGGUGGCUCUGUAUGGAAGGGCCAUCGCUCAACGGAUAAAAGGUACUCUGGGGAUAACAGGCUGAUACCGCCCAAGAGUUCAUAUCGACGGCGGUGUUUGGCACCUCGAUGUCGGCUCAUCUCAUCCUGGGGCUGUAGCCGGUCCCAAGGGUAUGGCUGUUCGCCAUUUAAAGAGGUACGUGAGCUGGGUUUAAAACGUCGUGAGACAGUUUUGUCCCUAUCUGCCGUGGGCGCUGGAAGAUUGACGGGGGCUGCUCCUAGUACGAGAGGACCGGAGUGGACUCACCUCUGGUGUACCGGUUGUCACGCCAGUGGCAUCGCCGGGUAGCUAUGUGGGGAAAGGAUAACCGCUGAAAGCAUCUAAGUGGGAAACCUGCCUGAAGAUAAGUCUUCCUGGAGGCUUGACCUCCCUAAAGAGUCGUUCGAGACCAGGACGUUGAUAGGUUGGGUGUGUAAGCGCUGUAAGGCGUUAAGCUAACCAAUACUAAUUGCUCGUGCAGCUUGAUCCU